AUAGCUCUGUGGUUAAGAGCACUUGUUGUUCUGACAGGAGACCUGGGUUCAACUCCCAGU
RNAcentral lists this transfer RNA (60 nucleotides) under Mus musculus (house mouse). It matches the Rfam family "tRNA", at positions 7 to 64 of the family's 71-position model. From Rfam's summary of the family: Transfer RNA (tRNA) molecules are approximately 80 nucleotides in length. Their secondary structure includes four short double-helical elements and three loops (D, anti-codon, and T loops). Lineage: Eukaryota; Metazoa; Chordata; Mammalia; Rodentia; Muridae. RNAcentral also lists the same sequence under 1 other name. The record is from Rfam by way of RNAcentral.